GACGAACGCUGGCGGCGCGCUUAACACAUGCAAGUCGAACGGAAAGGCCUGCUUUCCCUUGUGGAUUGCGGGUACUCGAGUGGCGAACGGGUGAGUAACACGUGAGUGAUCUGCCCCCAACUUGGGUAUAAGCCUGGGAAACUGGGUCUAAUUCCCGAUAGGACUGCAGGGUGGUGCCUGUGGUGGAAAACGAUUUUCUAGUGGUUGGGGAUGAGCUCGCGGCCUAUCAGCUUGUUGGUGGGGUAAUGGCCUACCAGGGCGGCGACGGGUAGCCGGCCUGAGAGGGUGGACGGCCACAUUGGGACUGAGAUACGGCCCAGACUCCUACGGGAGGCAGCAGUGGGGAAUAUUGCACAAUGGGCGGAAGCCUGAUGCAGCGACGCCGCGUGGGGGAUGACGGCCUUCGGGUGGUAAACUCCUUUCGACCGCGAGGAAGCCACCUGGUUGGAAGGGUGGUGACGGUAGUGGUAGAAGAAGCACCGACUAACUACGUG
Molecule: ribosomal RNA, 494 nt
Filed under: uncultured bacterium
Lineage: Bacteria
Description: partial 16S ribosomal RNA
Rfam family: Bacterial small subunit ribosomal RNA
Source: RNAcentral